RNAcentral lists this long non-coding RNA (11505 nucleotides) under Durio zibethinus. RNAcentral's name for it is "long non-coding RNA (DZIB_LNC000390)". The record is from RNAcentral. Lineage: Eukaryota; Viridiplantae; Streptophyta; Magnoliopsida; Malvales; Malvaceae.
AGGGCAAUGGUGCAAGUAGGGAAGCAUCUCUGGAUAUAUCAAAACCAGAUACUGAGAGAAGGGCUCCAUCUCUGCCUUCUGAAACCACCACGGUUUCCGAUGAUUUAAGAGCCAAAAUUCGAGCCAUGCUGAUGGCCACCUUGUAAUUAUCAACUUGACCCUGUUUUUCAGUUUGUACUUUAUAGUUGCCAUGUUUGUUUUCCUGAUUGCAACCAUCUAACUUAUUAUUUCUCCCAGUUUUAAUUGAUGAAUUCCUUUUCUAACCAUAAAUUUCUUCACUUUCCGGUUCAUUAAUCAAAUUUCGAAUUUAUGGAUAUCAAUGGAAAGAGGUUGGGUAGGGAAGAGUAUUUUCCAUCUUUAUAUUCAAAUUUUUAUAUUAUAUUUAUCUUUGUAUAUAUAUCGGAUGAAUAUUUUAAAUUUAUUUUCAUUUUCAUUCUCAUGAUUAUUCAUGGUUAUUCAAUGGGUAUGAAAAAUUUGCAUACCCACAGCAUUUAAAAAAAAUAAAAAUAAAAAUUUAUAUUUAAUUUUAUAUAUUUAGAUAAAUUUUUUUAUAAAUGUUUAUUAAUAUAUAUUUUUAAUAAAAAUAUAUUAAUUUUAAUUAAUUUAAAAUAAUAAUUUAUAUUAUUUAAUAAAAAAUUUAUUUAUUAAAUACAUAUAUAUAAAUAUAUAUGGAGUACGGGACAUUAUAUUAUCUAUCUUUAUUUUUGUACUCAAUAAAAAUUUAAAAUUAUAUUAAUUUUUAUCUUGAGGUUAAUAAUAUAAUAUUUAUCUUCAUCUUUAUUUAGAUAAAAAAUUAAUUUUUUAUUAGAUAUAAAUAAAAUUGAUAUCUCUAUUUCAAUUACUUGCAAAUUUCAUGUUAUUAUAUCAAUGAGCAUUUUUUUUAUUUGAAAUAGUUAACGUAAAUAAAUUAUUUAAUCUUUUAAAUUAAAAUAAAAUAUGUUGUAUAAAAUAAUUUAUCAUAAUUAUUACUCAUAAAAUAUGUUGUAUAAAAUAACUGGAUUCGAAGUCAAGAUUUUUACGUUAAAAAAAAAUAAUUCUUGCUAAUUGAAUUAACCUCUCGUUGAUUAAGAGUUUUUUAUUUAUUUAUUUUAAUUUUUUUAUAAUAAAAUAGAGCUGCCCUCGUGCCGACUCAACUUAAAAUAUUAAAAAUUAGUAGCGAGGAAAAUGAGAAACUAACUUCUCAAGUAAGAUCAUGAAGAUAGAAGAAAAGAGUGAUUUCGGCUAAAAUUUUCUAUUAACUUGUGAUAACCAAUAAUUGUUGUCAUGUUUUAGCACAAGGAAAGCUUAAAAAAAAAAAACAACUUUUGCUUUGAAUUUGAGCUUGGAAUUUUUUUUUUCAAACCGCAGGUGUCAUGGGAAGACAGAAAGUAGUACAUCACAUCCAGCAUAUCUAGUUUGACUGUUACAAUUUUCUUAGAUAUAUAAAUAUUUAUAAAAUUUUUUUUUAAAUAUAAAUUUCUGAUAAAUGUUUUUUUUAAUUAAAAUAUUAUAUUUUAAAUGAUUAGAUUUAAUAACAGUAGUGAUAUUUAGAUCAAGCGGCUGAGAAUAACCAAUUAUUAAAUGGAUUUUGACGUGUCAAAUGAUUAAAAGCCAGUACUUAGUCGCGUGGCAGUCUAAGGCAGCUAAGUAUUGCUCAAAUUUCAAAUCAAAGCCGCCACUUACAACUACUUUACACUAAAAGAAUAAACGUGUGAAGACUACGUUCUUGGUCUUUUUUUUUUAUAUAAAAAUAUAGUUUUUAUUAUUAUUAUAUUUAUAUAUAAAAAUUUAGUUAAAGGUAUAAAAAUAUUAUUUUAUAAUAUUAUAUCAAUUAUCAAAUUUUUACAUAAAAAAUAUUAUUAAUAUGAAAAUAUUUAUUUUAUUAUUGUUUUAAUAAAUUUAUGGCAUUUUAUAUAUAAAAAAAGAUAAUAUUUUUAAAAAUAAAAAACUUCAAAAAUUAAAAAUUAAAUUUAAUCACUAAAUUUGUUUUAUUAAAAAAAUUAUUGUUAUUAUAAGUAAUAUUUUACAAUCAUAUUCAGUGCGAAGUAUCUAAUUUUAAUUUAUGAUUAAGAUUAUAUUUUUAUCAAAUCAAAUGGUUAAGAAUUAUUUUUGUCAAAAUGAAUAUGUAAUUAAAUUGGUUUUUAAGGAUAAAAUAGAUAAAAAAAAUUAAUAUCUAUUAUUCAAAUACGAAAAUCAUAUUUCAAAAAUUAAAAUCUCAAAAGAAUAUUUAAAUUUAAUCGAAUCUAAUGCCCUCUAAAAAGUUAUUAAAACUUUAAGAGACCCAUUUAAUAUUUGGGGUCAAAGGCAAAUAUCCAAUUUGACCAUCAAAGAUGGAUAGUCGAAUCCAUCUUCCCAAUCAAACCGAUUGGUUUUUGGCUUUUCCUUCUUUCCCCAUUUCUUUCUCUUGCCAAUAUUGGAAUUUAUCCAAAAUUUCAACCUGGCCAUUUCCUCUCCUCCCCCCCUCCCCCCCUUCCUUUUGUUUUUCAAAAUCUGCUACAUUUCUUCUUUAAACAUAUAAUUGAAAACCCAAAGUUUUCCACGUCGAAAGAUUGCCACGUUGAAAAAAAAUACUUUCAUUUAUAUCAUCAAAUUUGUAAUUUUUUUUUAAAUUUCGAAAUAGAUAGAUUAUUUAAUUUUUCAAGUUACGACACGUUAAUAUGAGAUAGAUAAAUUAUUUAAUUUUUCAAGUCAAGAUAUAAUAUGGUGUAUCUGAUAAUUUAAAACAUGUGGCUAUAAUACUUCUUCAAGAUAAAUAAAUUGCUUAGUCUUUUAAGUUACAGCACAUCAAUCCAAAGUAAAUAGAUUACUUAAUCUUUUAAGUCAAUAUAAGAUAUAUCAUAUAUAAAAUCUAAAAUAUGUGAUUACAGUUUUUUCAUUUGAUAUGAUUCCAACAAAUAACUAUCGAUGACACUUAAAUCCAAAAUUUCUUUUAUUGAGAAAGAUGAAUUUUGAUUAAUUAAAUCAACCACUUAUUAGUAACAAAUUUAAUAUAUUGUUGACUGAAUUACAACUAUAUUUUUAUUUUAAAAAAUUAAAACAAAAAUGCUAAACUUGAUUGAUUAUGUAUGAAAACAACAUAUAUAUGUGUUGUGCCUGAAGUAAUAAUCACAACAAUAUAGAAGCAAUAGACAACAAUCAAUAAUUAAAUAUGCAGGAAAAAUAAAGCACACUAAGAUUUACGUGAAAAACCCUCCAGUGUAGAGGAAAAAAACUACGGGCCACCAGAAAAAUCUUCACUAUCAAAUAAUAGUUAUACAAAGUUCUUCUCUAGCUAAAACUAGAGCUAAUCAAUAACUAGAGAAACAAUUGAAGAAAUCUCACCAAAUAAAUGACUCAACAAAUAUACCAUGGAUUUGUUCCUAGAGAGCUUCAAACCCGAUCUUCACCUUUCAGAAUAUAGAACUCUGAAUCAUAAACCUCCUAACAAGGUUCUGACUCAAUCGGACCACGGAUCGACUUCCGUUCAACCAACUCUUCCUUCUCCUUUUUCUCUCUCUGCUUUUCCUAGCUUUUCUUCUUUCUCUACUUGGUUUUCAACACACACUUAAAACAACCCCACCUUUUUUUUAUUAAGUAGCUAGGACUCUAUGUAAAAUAAAAGAUCAAGGCCCAUGGCCUUUACUUGGUCCAAAACCACUUACAUGGGACUGGACCCCAUUUUCCUAACAAUCUCCCCCUCUAGCCCCAUUAGGAGGAGAUUCAUCAUCAUAGCAGUUUCAUUUGAACUUACCUUGGUCAGGGAACUCAUUCCGACCAAGUUACUGCAAAGCUCAAGCUUUUUCCUAGGAAGUAUCUUAGUCAACAUAUCUGCUACAUUCUUAUCAGUAUGGAUUUUCUUCAAUAACAUCUGCUGUUCUUCAAUCACUGAACGUAACCAAUGAUAUCUAACAUCAAUGUACUUUGUUCUAGCAUGGUACAUGGUAUUCUUACUCAAAUCUAAAGUACUCUGGCUAUCACAAAAUAUCACAUACUCUUUCUGAUUCAACCCCAAUUCAAAAAGAAAACGUUUCAUCCAAAGCAUUUCUUUACAUGCUUCGGUUGCUGCAAUAUAUUCAGCCUCUGUAGUUGACAAAGCAACACACUUCUGUAACUUAGAUUGCCAAGAUACAGUUUCUCCUGCAAAAGUGAAAAAAUACCCUGAAGUAGAUUUCCUACCAUCAAGAUCGCUUGCCAUGUCAGCAUCAGUAAACCCUUCUAGAACUGGUUGUGAAACUCCAUAAGUCAAGCACAUUUUUGAGGUACCAUUCAAAUAUCUAAAAAUCUAUUUCACUGCUUUCCAGUGAACCUUCCUUGGAUUAGAAAGAAAUCUGCUCACUAAACCAACUGCAUAAGCAAUGUCAGGCCUUGUACAAACCAUAAGAUACAUUAAAGAACCGACUGCAGAAGAAUAAAAAAUACUAGACAUAGCUAGUUGCUCUUCCUUAGACACUGGACAAGAUUUCUUACUUAGAUGAAAAUGGUUAGCAAGUGAACUGCUAACUGAUUUAGCAUGUUGCAUGUUGAAUCUACCAAGCACUCGUUCAACAUACUUUUUCUGUGACAACCACAGCUUUUCAGCUCUCCUAUCCCGGAUAAUGUCCAUACCAACAAUCUGUUUUGUUGGACCUAAAUCCUUCAUAUCAAAGGACUUAGACAAUUGUUCUUUCAACCUGCAAACCAUACUAGCAUCUUGUCUUACAAUCAACAUAUCAUCAACAUAUAAUAAUAGGAUAAUGAAAUUACCAUUAGGGAAUUGUUUAACAUACACACAAGAAUCCACUGUUAUUUUUUUAUAGUUAUGACUCACCAUAAAAGAAUCAAAUUUCUUGUACCACUGUCACGGAGCUUGUUUCAAGCCAUACAAGCUUUUUUUCAAUUUGUAAACUAAGUGCUCUUUCCCUUUCACUUCAAAACCCUCAGGCUGAUUCAUAUAAAUGUCCUCCUGUAAAUCACCAUGUAAAAAUGCAGUUUUAACAUCAAGUUGCUCAAGUUUAAGAUUCAAACUAGCUGCCAAUCUCAGUACCACUCGAAUAGAACUCAUUUUUACAACUGGAGCAAAAAUCUCAUCAAAGUCGAUGCCUGGUUUCUAAGAAGAACUUUUUACUACCAAUCGAACUUUGUACCUCACUAGUUUGUCACCAUCUUUUUUCAACUUGAACACCCAUUUAUUCUUUAAUGACCUCUUCCCUGUUGAAAGUUUAACAAGAUCAUAAGUACUAUUCUUUCGCAAUGACUCCAUCUCUUAUUUCAUUACUUUUAACCAGUGCUCUCUAUCCGGAGUAGCCUGCACAUCUUGAAAGCUUUCUGGCUCCCCUUCACUGGUAACUAAAAUAAAAUCUAAACUUGGAUACCUGGUAGAUGACCUGCGCUCUCUAGUAGAUCUCCUGGGUUAAGACUCUACAUCACUUGAUGCUGAAGGUAGCUUCCCCUACUCAACACUCUCAGGUAGAGAGGAUUGCUCCCCCUGUUCAAAACUAAUAACAUCUGGCUCAUCACCAACUGUAGCUGGCUCAUUUAUAUCCCUAAGUUCUGUUUCUUGCUCAUUUUCACCAUCUGUGGCUCUUUCCUGUGAAAUCCCUGUCGGUGUUGAAACAUCACACUCAACAGUAACCUGUGUAGUCUUCUCAUUUUUUUCAAAGUCUGCUAUGGUUUCUUUUUCAUGAAAGACCACAUCCCUGUUUCUGACUGUCUUUCUCUUUACUAGAUCUCAUACCCUGUAGCCAAAUUCCUCAUCACCAUAUCCUAUAAAUACACACUGUGUAGCUUUACUGUCAAGCUUUGAUCUCUGUUCUUUCGGCACAUGUAUGAAUGCUUUACACCCAAAAACUUUCAAGUAAGAGUAUGAAGUAUCUUUCCCUGUCCACACUCUUUCUGGAAUGUCAAAGCCCAAAGGAACUGAUGGUGACCUGUUAAGUAAAUAACAAGCUAUGUUGACUGUUUCACCCUAGAAUGGCUUUGAUAAUUUUGCCAUCCUCAAUAUACAUCUAACUUUUUCCACAAUGGUGCGAUUUAUUCUUUCAGCUAUACCAUUAUGCUGCGGUGUUCCAGGUUCUGUCCUCUCAUGUCUGAUCCCAUGCUUUGAGCAAUACUUUUCAAAGUCUUUAGAUGUGUAUUCCCCACCAUUAUCAGUUCGAAUACACUUCAAGGGUAACCUUGUCAUCCUUUCAACCAUGGCAUGAAAUUUUUGAAAAUACUGUAGUACCUGACUUUUGUAUUUCAACAUAUACACCCAAGUCUUACGUGAAGCAUCAUCAAUAAAAGUAACAAAAUAUCUGCUACCACCUAAUGACUCAACCUCAAUGGGACCACAUACGUCAGAAUAAAUUAAUUCCAAUCUAUUUUCUUUUCUCUGAGAACUUUUACGAAAAGAAACUCUAUGAUGCUUACCAAAUAAAUAAUAAUCACAUGAAUCGAGAGAUAUACCUUUGGUCAAGGGAAUGAGAGACUGCCUUGCCAAAACUUGUAAUCCUUUUUCACUCAUGUGUGUCAGCCUCCUGUGUCACAAGUUUACUGAAGCAUCAUUUUCAACGGUAUUUACCUGGUUACCGUUCAAUUGCAUCCAUGUCUUAUACAUUGUGCAGCAUAGUUUUCCCCUUGUAACUACCAUAGAUCCUUUGAGAAGCUUUCAUUGUCCUUUCUUUUGUCGGCUUUCAUAUCCCUCCUUAUCAAGGACAUUAAUAGCAAGCAAGUUUAUUCUCAUAUCUGGAAUGUGUCUAACAUCCCUUAAAGUUAACAUGCAGCUUGUACUAGUUUGUACAACAAUAUCACCAAUCCCAACAAUCUGCGACACACUCUUGUUUCCCAUCUUGAUACAACCAAAGUCUCCUGCUUUGUAAGUUGUAAACAACUCUCUCUUAGGAACACAAUGAUAUGCCACUCCUGUGUCAACUAUCCACUGAAUACCGGGAUCACUAACAUGAUUACAAUCACCAUGUGUACAAAUCAAAGUAACUGAAUCACUAUCUGAAUUCACUGCUGUAGCAUUACUAUCAUCUGAACUCUUACCUUUCUCAUAUUUUCGCUCUUGCUUCAAGAUUUUACAGUUUCAUUUUAUAUGACCCGCCUUACCACAAUGAAAACAUUUCACUUUACCUCUAGACUUGGAUCUAUGUUUAGACUUACAAGUUACAAUCUUUUUAACAAGCAUAACUUUAUUCAUACCUAUUUUUCUCUCAUACAAUGCUGCCAUUUUUUCUCAAAUAAUGUGAGCAUUUGACUCCUGCGCUACAUGAUGAACACGCUGAUAUCAACCAUUUUCUGAUUGUAGCCAGCAUCUUUCUACCUAGCUUCUUUCAGCUUUCAUCUUUCAUAUCUGCUGGUUUAGCCGAAUCACCCAAUACUGGCUCAUACAAAUCUUUGCAGUAUAGAUGAUCCUCCAUCAUAGGCUUUCAAAUUGAAUAAUUCGAUGCUGUCAAUUUUAUCAUGGAACUGUAUCACCCUCCAUGAUCUCAAACAAAAUUUAUUUCUAUCCUGGGUUGCUUCUGUAUCGAUGUCUCAAAAUAACCCUCGCUCUGAUACCACUUGUUGCGCCUGAAGCAAUAAUCACAACAAUAUAGAAGCAAUAGACAACAAUCAAUAAUCAAAUAUGCAGGAAAAAUAAAGCACACCAAGAUUUACGUGGAAAACCCUCCAGUGUAGAGGAAAAAACCAUGGCCACCAGAAAAAUCUUCACUAUCAAAUAAUAGUUAUACAAAGUUCUUCUCUAGCUAAAACUAGAGCUAAUCAACAACUAAAGAAACAAUUGGAGAAAUCUCAUCAAAUAAGUGACUCAACAAAUACACCCUGGAUUUGUUCCUAGAGAGCUUCAAACCCGAUCUUCACCGUUCAGAAUGUAGAACUCUGAAUCAUAAACCUCCUGACAAGGUUCUAACUCAAUCGGACCACGGAUCGACUUCCGUUCAACCAACUCUCCCUUCUCUUUUUUCUCUCUCUGCUUUUUCCUGGCUUUUCUUCUUUCUUUACUUGGUUUUCGACACACACCUAAAACAACCCUACCUUUUUUUAUUAAGUAGCUAGGGCUCUAUGUAAAAUAAAAGAUCAAAGCCCAUGGCCUUUACUUAGUCCAAAACCACUUACAUGAGACUGGACCCCAUUUUCCUAACAAUAUGAUCAUGGUGAAGUAGUCAAAGUCAUAUAAGAUCCUCAUAAUGAUUUAUAAUAUAUAAUAAUAAUUUUGAAGUAGUUGUCCUAUCACAUUUAUCAUGAAUUAAUUAAUAUAUUUCUUAAUUUUAUAUUUCCCAAACAAAGCAGAAGUAAUUACCAUACUCUACUUGGACUUUUGCUUCCCUUUAGUUUUUCAACUUAUCAUUAUUUGCUACAAAUUAUUAACUUUCGUGUAUCAAUGGCCUAUGACUUCAUUUUCCUUUUUCUAUACUUUAAGGAGAGCAUUCAGCAUUAAUGAAAACUCCAAAAAAUCCUACAAACAAUGACGCCCUAAGGCUUGCAUGUUUCCAUGGCAUCCAUGAUUAGUCCUAAUACCUAAAAUAUGUUUAUAUGAUACUUAUCCAACGUGGCUGUCUGAUAGUUGAGUAAGGUGCAUGUGUUUUUCUAAGGCUUACAAUGUCUAAGUUUCAGAUGCUCGGAGCACAGAUGCAGUUCUUGUUCUAUGUCAUGACAAUGGGGCAUCCAGGUGGGAUUAGGAUGAUAGAAAUUCGUUACUUUUCAGGAAUCUUAUUCACUUGAGAGCAAAUGGGAUGUGAUACAUAUCUUCCUAGGAGUUCUGUUUCUUGAUCUUUGUGCUUAUCUGAAUAUAUGUGAGAUUCUGUGGUUUUCUUUUUUUCAUUUUUAAUUCUUUGGGAAUGUUAGUAAGUUUUUAAUCACUUUUGGGACUUUGCAGUUGUUAAAUUCUCAUCAUUGACUGGAAAACCUUUUUCUUUUUCUUCUUCAGCCUCCUACAGAGAAAGUACAUCAGAUCAUUGCAAGAACAGCUAUGUUUGCAAGCAGACAUGGCGGACAAUCAGAGAUUGUUUUGCGGGUCAAACAAGGAGACAACCCUACGUUUGGCUUCUUGAUGCCCGAUCAUCCACUUCACCCAUACUUUAGAUUUCUUGUUGAUCACCAAGAACCUUUGAGCAGCAACUCCGUAGAUGAAGAGAGCAAAACUGACAGUACACUUGAUCAGGCAGGUAGUGUUAAAGGAGGAGGUGCAUUAUCUUUGCUUGGUACUGUAUACGGUUCUGGAGAAGAUGAGGAAGGUGCAAUGGGGAAUGCUACUGAGCUUAAGGGAAAGGAAUCUGUUGGAGCUGAUGUUGCUAUUAAUAAAACAUCAACAGAUGGAUCGGAGCAGAAAGCAUCUUCUUUAGGUGUCAAUGGGAAAGAUGAGACAGUUGCAAAGCAUUCAGCUUCUUUAAAGGAAAAGGCUUCUCUGAUAAAAAGAAAUCUUUCGAUAACAACAGUUAAGACUGGAACAACAACAGGGGUGAAGAAAGAAAGUGAUACCUCUGCUACUGAGAAGUCACGAGCCUCUUCUUCGUCGACCACAUCAAAGGUUGACUUGCCUGUUGUGGAGCCUUCAUCUGAUUUAAAGAGAGUGGUUGAUAAGAUUGUUGAGUUCAUUCUGAAAAAUGGUAGACAGUUUGAAGCAAUUCUGGUUGAACAAGAUGUUAAGCAUGGGAGGUUUCCAUUCCUGUUGCCAUCCAAUCUUUAUCAUCCUUAUUAUUUAAAAGUUCUUCAAAAAGCUGAAAAGGUAUGAUCCCCACGUUCCAAUUUUCUGUAUAACGUCUUUGUUUCUUAUUAGACUCUUUUCAGUAAGACACAUUUAUUUAAUUCUGGCUUGGCAUUGGAUAAAACAGGUAGAAUGUGAUAUGGAACACUUUAUUUUUUCAUAUGUUUCCUUUUGUGCCAAAAUGUUGCUUCAUAUAUCUAUGUAUUGAGUUUUCCCUUUGAUUUUAUAUCUUUUUUUUUUUCAUUUUUUGUGGGUGGUUUGAUAUUUUGCAUAUUCAUUCACUUUAGAUGUUAUAAUUGACUGCUGAUUAAAUCAUAAAAGCAAAUUUUUUGGCUCUUAUCUCUUCUGAUGAUGUUAGAUUACCUUUUCUCUGCAGUCAAAGUUACAUUGUAAAGGAUUCAUUUCUGAGAAGCAUGGUUCAUCUGGCCUUGGGGUGGAAAAGAAAGCUGCUCCAUCUCAAGAAAGUGAUAGUGUGUCUGUUGGAUCUGACAUACCGUAUGAAUCUGAGAGGAAAGAGAAGUUUAAAAUGGUAAUCAGCAAAUCAAAGAAGGAUGGACAAGAUCCACCUUCCAAAGCUACCCAGCCGCAAAUUGGAGUUAGUGUGGAUGCAGCUGCUGCUGCUGCUAUUCUUCAGGCUGCCACAAGAGGCAUUAAGAAUCCAAAUUUAGAAAUUCUUUCAAAGACAUCAUUAAAUGUUAGCAGCCAGGCCUCUAGUGGUGAGGGUGGGCAUGUCCCAAGUUUCGGUAGAAAUUCUGGUCCUGUUGCCAAUGUUAUUGCAAAGACGGCAGCUAUUGCAGCUGCAAGUGAGGCUGAUUCGUCUGAGGCAUGCUUGACAAAAGAAGAGAAGUUGAAAGCUGAGAGAUUGAAACGGGCAAAGAUGUUUGCAGCCAUGAUAAAAAGUGGUGCUGCACCACUUAAAACUGAAACAUUGCGAGGCUUAUCUGCUGAACCACCAGAGUCAGGGGUUUCUGGUUCAGGUAUGGAGGGUGGAAAUCUUUCCAGAAAAGAAAGGGAAGGCAGCUCAGUUGCAUUGGAUGUGAAUACUUAUGAUAAAAAUGAAAAGCAUGAAAAGAUAUAUUCUGGUAUUGAUCAUAAUGAACGGCGAUCAAAGAGGAAGUACCGUUCCAGAUCAAAAAGACAUGAAGAGGAUAGCAGACAGGAGGAGGAGGAAGAAGAAGAAGAAAAGAAAGGAAUGGACGAGCACUCGGGUAAAAAGCAGCGAUCACAUCACUCUUCACACCGUAGCAGGGAUAGGCAUAAGCAUAGAAAAAGGCAUUCCUCUUCAAAGGAUAGAGAUUCUCGACGUAGGCAUAAGCACGAUAGUAGUUCAGAUGAUGAACGAGGUCAUAAUUCAGAUUACUCUGAGAGUGAUCAUCAUCAUUCUCGACACAGAUGGAAGCAAGAUAUCUCUUCAGAUAAUGAACAUCGGAGGUCAAGAUUUGGAAAUGAGCAUGGUGGCUCCUCUGAUGAUGAGGAUCAACGCACUCGGCAUCAGCAUAAGCACCAUAGCUCCUCGGAUGACGAGUGCCGUCAGCAAAGGAAGAGGUCUUACUCAAGAAGAGAGGUGGAAUUGGAGGAAGGAGAGAUUUAUGCAAAAUCAGAUCAAUCUAAAGUUAGUGAGGGCAAUGGUGCAAGUAGGGAAGCAUCUCUGGACAUAUCAAAACCAGAUACUGAGAGAAGGGCUCCAUCUCUGCCUUCUGAAACCACCACGGUUUCCGAUGAUUUAAGAGCCAAAAUUCGUGCCAUGCUGAUGGCCACCUUGUAAUUAUCAACUCGACCCUGUUUUUCAGUUUGUACUUUAUAGUUGCCAUGUUUGUUUUCCUGACUGCAACCAUCUAACUUAUUAUUUCUCCCAGUUUUAAUUGAUGAAUUCCUUUUCUAAC